RNAcentral lists this long non-coding RNA (31367 nucleotides) under Brassica rapa (field mustard). The record is from RNAcentral. Lineage: Eukaryota; Viridiplantae; Streptophyta; Magnoliopsida; Brassicales; Brassicaceae.
UUUUUUUUUUUUUUUUCCUGACUGAUGCUGUGAUAAUUUAUGCCAAAGUAAUGUCUUUUUUUUUUUUUUGUGCGACGCUGAAGUAAUGUCUAGUCGUCUAGAUUGAAUAUUUAACGACGUGAGCGGUUUGUAAUAUACUAAUAUACAACAUAUAUAAUAUUAAAUGGCUUCGCUGUACUUUCUAAAGCCGAUAAAAGGUAAAUGCAUAUGAUGCAGAGUUCAUAUCCAUUAAGAAACAAAUUACCACUAAAUAAGUUCACAUUUUUUUUUUCACAUCUUGUUUUCUGCAGCCAGCAAAGUUUCGAUCAGAGAGAGAGAGAGAGAGAUCUGCUCAGAGAACAAGAGAACUGUCGAAUUCAUCAGCACCAAUGGCUCGUGGAUCGUUUAUGAUCUGGUAUUACUUUUAGUAAGUAAGUAGUUAUUUGUUUUCUUACCCAGCUUCAUAAAUAAUAAUACAAGUAGCUGUCGUCUGAGAAAAAUCCGGUGAAAGAUUGUGGGUAUUGAUUCCGAGGCACAUGUAAUGAUUAAUUUUAAUAGUUUUGUUAGCACGCUUCUAGCACUUUCCUUUGUUUCUUUGGAUUCAAAUAUGGAUGGAUUACUUCUCUUAAACUAACAUCUGAAUUUGAACAUUUGAAAACCAUGUGAAGAUAUAUGUUGAUUUUUAUAAUGUUAUCAAGCUGUUAUAGUACAGUUGUUUAAUACCAAUAAAGAAAUGGAUGCUCGUAGUGUCUUUAUAAAAUCACAUUUUCUUUAAAUCAGAGAGGAGGAAAGAUCUACUACAAAGCAGUUUUGGCUUCAUCGGCAGAGCAAUGUCUAGUGGAUUGCUUCUCUUCUGGUUAAUCUCCUCUUUUCAUCUCAUAGCUUUGUCAACUUCAACAACAAAGGAAACAAGUUUUGUCUUCAACGGCUUUGGAAAAGCGGAUCUUUCUGUAGAUGGGUCAGCCACGUUGCUUCGCGGUGGAUUAUUGCAGCUUGCUAAAGACACGGAGCAUCAAAUGGGCCACGCGUUCACCAAGAAGCCAAUCGAGUUCAGCUCCUCUAAGCCGCUGUCAUUCUCAACACACUUCGUCUGUGCUCUGGUGCCUAAGCCAGGAGUCGAAAGCGGGCACGGCAUCACCUUCGUGAUAUCCCCUUCCGUGGAUUUCACUCGGGCGCAGCCGAACCGGUACUUUGGGAUCUUCAACGCCUCAACGGGUGGAUCUAACUCUUCCCGCCUCUUUGCUGUUGAGCUCGACACUAUAAAAAACGGAGAGUUCGAGGAGACGAACCAUAAUCAUGUCGGGAUUGAUGAGAACGAUCCCAUUUCAGUGGAGUCAGCACCAGCUUCUUACUUCUCCGAGACGCAACAGAGGAAUGUGAGUCUUAACCUCUCUAGUGGAGAUACUAUACAGGUUUGGGUUGACUACGAGCGAACUCUACUCAAUGUCUCCGUGGCUCCUCUUAAUGUUGUCAAGAAGCCACGUCAGCCUCUGUUGUCACGAGCCAUGAACCUCUCAGAUUUGUUUCGAAGCACAAGAUUGUUCGUUGGGUUCUCUGCAGCAACGGGGUCAGCAAUCAGCUACCACUACCUUCUUGGGUGGAGUUUCAGCACAAGCGGGGAACUACUGCAGCCACUUGACAUCUCUAAGCUUCCUCGAGUUCCUCGGCAUAGAGUUAAGCAUAAGAAACAGUAUGCUCUGAUCGUCGGUCUCCCCGCUGCUCUUGCUAUCAUUGUAAUAGCUCUUCUUGCAGGAGUUUAUUACCACAGGAAGAAAAAGUUUGCGGAAGUGAGCGAGCCUUGGGAGGAGGAGUACGGUACACACCGCUUCUCAUACAAAUCUUUAUACAUAGCAACGAGAGGGUUCCACAGGGAUGGGUUUCUAGGAAGAGGUGGGUUUGGAGUAGUGUACAGAGGAGAUCUCCCUGAGAGCAAACCUAUAGCUGUGAAGAGAGUCUCUCAUAACGGUGAGGAAGGGAUGAAGCAGUUUGUGGCUGAAGUCGUGAGCAUGAGAAGUCUCAAACACAGGAACCUCGUUCCGCUUCUUGGGUAUUGUAGGAGAAAAGGAGAGCUUUUGCUUGUUUCCGAGUUCAUGCCCAACGGGAGUCUUGACCAGCACUUGUUUGAUGACCAAAGUCUUGUUCUUUCUUGGUCACAAAGACUUGUCAUUCUCAAAGGUAUAGCCUCUGCGCUCUUUUAUCUCCACACGGGAGCUGAACAAGUCGUGCUGCAUCGAGACAUCAAAGCUUCCAAUGUUAUGUUAGACGCUGAGCUGAACGGCAGGUUGGGAGAUUUUGGUAUGGCUAGGUUUCAUGACCAUGGAGGCAACGCAGCCACGACAGCAGCGGUUGGUACUGUAGGGUACAUGGCUCCUGAGCUAAUAACAAUGGGAGCUUCCACUGUAACCGAUGUUUAUGCAUUUGGUGUUUUUAUGCUUGAAGUAGCGUGUGGAAGGAAACCUGUGGAGCCUGGGAUGGAAGCUGAGAAACGGUUUCUCAUCAAAUGGGUUUGUGAAUGCUGGAAGAAAGAUUGUUUGCUUGAUGCUAGAGAUCCCAGAUUUGGAGGAGAAUUCGUACCCGAGGAGGUCGAGUUGGUUAUGAAAAUCGGGUUGCUGUGUACAAACAUCGUGCCAGAAUCACGACCAACAAUGGAACAAGUGGUUCUUUACUUAAACGAGAACCUGCCGUUGCCGGAUUUCUCGCCAUAUACGCUUGGGAUCGGCUCAUUUACUCCAGUAGUGGUGGAUGCAGCCUCUCUUACAGGCACAUACACUUCAAGGAACUGGUCUGCUCCUUGGGCAUCUUCUUCAUCAGCCAACAACUCAGAGGAGCAUGAGCAACCAUUGGAAUCCAAGAACUCUCUAAACGUAGUUGCAGAAUCAGAAGACAUCGAGGCUCGCCUCUCCAAGCCAACCAGUGGCUGCUGAUACAGUUUAUGAAGUAUCCAUUGGAUGUUAAUUUGAACACGUAGGUGCUGCUUAUUGGUGAAUGAUCUCAUUGGGAGUUCAUUCGCUGAGGAUACUCAUGUAUAACUUGUGAAUGUUUCAAUUUCAGGUCUUCUUCAUUGUAUUUCAGCAUAUGUUUUUUUUUUUGAAAACUUUCUAGUGAUCUGGUGACUAUUGUCUUUUUUUCCACUCAAUGUACAUUCUUUCUUUUUUUGGGGGGAUUAACUGAACACCACCACUUGUAAGUUGUAACCAACCGACAAAAAGAUGUUCAUUGGAUGAUGAAUUAAGGAAUAGUCUUAGAUAUGGACUGCUCUGUUCCAUGUGAAGACUGGUCCCGUUUAAGUAAGUGAUUGUGACUCUGCAUGCUGUGAGAGACUUGGUCAGCUUCUAUGUUCUUUGCGUUUCAUUUACUUGGAAAAGUAACAUAAAAUUAAAUGUAUCUUAUCCAAAAUUUGUGGAGGAAGAAAAGUUGGUUUAUUGUCUCUCUUGAGAUGCUAAAGGGGAGACUGCCCAAGUUAUUUGCUGAAGUACCAGAGAUAUUAAUUAGAGUAGAGGUUGAUAACUAGCUCUACUCCCAAGGCAUUUUCAGAUUUCUGCUAGAUGUAAGUGCUUCUUGUACUUGUCAUGCUUUUGUUUCUUUUGUAUAUUGGGAAUAUAUAUAUGCGUUGGCUGGCUACAGUUACUUAGGAGAAAUUGUACAAGACAUUGAAUGUUUAAAAUUGAGCUCCUGAAUUUAUGAGCAGUCUUUUUUUUUGGCAGCUUUGGAGGAUGGUUCUCACAGAAGAGAAAAAAUAUGAACCAUUAAAUUCAGACACUCUUUCAAUAGUAACGGCUUGCAGCAGGCUUCAUCUAGUUUUGAUCAUGUUCUGCUGCCUUCAUCUGGUUUCCCUGUCAGGUCAACAAGAAACCGGGUUUGUCUACAAUGGCUUCCAUCAAGCAGAUCUCCAUAUUGAUGGAAUCGCUAGAGUCCUUCCUGGUGGGAUUUUGCAGUUGACAAAUGAUUCACAGUUUAAAAUGGGUCAUGCUUUCUUCAACAUGCCAUUUGAUUUUGAUCCAUAUUAUACCAUCUCCUUCUAUACACAUUUUGUGUGUGCGUUGGUGCCUCUUCAGCUGGGAACUAGUGGCGGACACGGGGUGGCUUUUGUUUUAUCUCCUUCUAUGGAUCUCUCUCAUGCACUCCAAGCUCAGUACUUGGGCGUCUUCAGCAACCCCACAAAUGGAACUUCCCCUCCUCAGCUGAUAGCUAUUGAGCUUGAUACCAUUGAGUCAUUAGGAAUUGAUGUGGUGGAAAAGCCUCAUGUUGGGAUUGAUUUGAACAGCCCAACAUCUAUUGAAUCCACUCUCCCGUCUUACUUUUCCCAUGCCUUAGGGAAGAAUGUAAGCAUAAAUCUCCUGAGUGGUCUGCCUAUCCAGGUUUGGGUGGAUUACGAUGGAGCCUCCCUUAACGUUACUCUGGCCCCUAUAGAUAUACAGAAACCAGAUCAGCCUCUUAUGUCAAGGCCCAUCAAUCUUUCAGAAUUUUUUCAAAAUAAAAUGUUUGUUGGGUUCUCUGCAGCAACAGGGCAAUUGACCAGUAACCAAUUUAUACUUGGGUGGAGUUUCAGUAGAAGCAAAGAACUAUUACAGAACCUGGACCUCUCUAAGCUCCCUCAGGCUCCUCUUCCUAGAGAAAAACAACAUCCUCUUCUGUCUCCACCGCUUAUUGGUUUGGUCAUCUUAUCGGUGAUCCUAGUGCUGCUGGUUCUCGGAGUAGUUUAUUGGUACAGGAGAAACAAGUACGCGGAAGUGAGAGAAUCGUGGGAAAAGGAAUACGGUCCACAUAGAUUCUCCUACAAGUCUCUCUACAAAGCAACAAAUGGGUUUGGAAAAGAUUGUUGUGUUGGGAAAGGUGGGUUUGGAGAUGUGUACAAAGGAACUCUGCCCCUAAGUAGGCAUAUAGCUGUGAAAAGACUGUCACACAAUGCAGAGCAAGGAAUGAAACAGUUUGUGGCUGAAGUUGUGACUAUGGGAAGUUUACAGCACCGGAACUUGGUUCCUCUUCUCGGGUAUUGUAGGAGGAAAGGCGAGUUGCUUCUGGUCUCUGAGUACAUGCCCAACGGCAGUCUUGACAAGUACUUGUUUCAUGACCAAAACCCAUCUCCUUCAUGGUUGCAAAGGAUUUCUAUUCUUAAGGACAUCGCCUCGGCUCUAAAUUACCUUCAUACAGGAGCCACGCAAGCUGUUUUGCACCGGGAUAUUAAAUCUUCUAAUGUUAUGUUAGAUUCUGAUUUCAAUGGAAGAUUAGGAGAUUUUGGUAUGGCCAGGUUUCAUGACCCAAGAGCCAACUUAUCUGCAACAGCCGCUGUGGGAACCAUAGGUUACAUGGCACCUGAGCUAAUCACAAUGGGAACUUCUACAGAAACUGAUGUUUAUGCCUUUGGUGCUUUCCUUCUUGAAGUAAGUUGUGGGAGGCGGCCUGUGGAACCGGAGCUGCCAGUGGAAAAGCAAUACUUGAUCAAAUGGGUCUGUGUAUGCUGGAAACAGGCUUCUUUACUUGACACCAUAGAUCCAAGAUUGGGAGGAGAAACUUUAUUCAAGGAAGUUGAGAUGGUUCUUAAACUUGGAUUGCUCUGCACAAAUGCGAUACCAGAAGCAAGGCCUACCAUGGGACAAGUGGUGCAGUACCUAAACCUGGACCUACCCUUGCCAGAUUUCUCGCUGAAUAGUCCAGGUAUUGGAGCGUUUAUGCCAGUGUCAAUGGAACCAUCAUCUACCAUUAGUGCCUCCAAUUCAAGGAGCACAUCAAUACCUAUGUUUGUUACUCAUACAAUCCUGAGAGGGAGUGGUAGAUGAGAGAUAUAUUUAUGAAACUGUGUGUGCUCUGCAUCUAAUGUCUUGAGCUACUUAAAAUGUAUUUACCCAAGAAACAAUGGUGUUGGCGGUUAUAAUUGUAUCUGUGAUCUUGUGUGCAUAGUUUUUUUCAAGUGAGAAAGUGGCCAAAAGAGUUUAUAAGAUCGUAUAAUAUUGGUUAACUUUUUUUAUGUUAGUAGAUGAUCAUCAGUUGACAUUAAUAUAUUAGAUAGUUAACUCUUUUUUUUGCUUGUGAGGCUUGAACAAGUCUCUGUCCGUAGUAUUUGUUGACGUGAAACAAUGUGUUUAUUUGAAUUCGUUUGUACAUGAGCUAGUAGAGUUUGCUGUGUUUUCCAUUCUUGGUGUAAAAAAAUAUUGUACACUUACUAAGAACAAUGUAUUCACGUAACAUAUUCAUCUGAAACAUAGUAUGCUUAGUAAAUUAGAUUAAAGCAAACAGAACCUGAGAGUUUUCAAACUAAUCAGUGUCACCUCUUUUUCUAUGCAAGCGACUGUCGGCUGCGUCGAAAUUUUUGUCUUAUUCGAAGGAGUCCAACAACAGUGUUAAAUGGCCCAGAGAGAAAUCAAAGAGACACCAGCCCCUUUUAGUGUAAACGAGCCCAUUAGAUAGAUACUUUAAACGGUAAGAAACGUCCCACAUCGCCAUUCUAAGAAGAAGAAGCUCUGUUUAUAUAGGUCUCGAGUCUCGUACAUGAUUGUCCCUUCGGGGACAUCCGAUAAAAUUGGAACGAUACAGAGAAGAUUAGCAUGGCCCCUGCGCAAGGAUGACACGCACAAAUCGAGAAAUGGUCCAAAUUUUUUUUGUUUCCAAAAUUUUCUAGAAUUUCAGUUUUUGGUGAAGUUGCUACCUCAACCUCUGCUGCAAAACUGUCUAUUGGGAAAAAGAAAAUGUGGAGUCGUUUUAAUGAAAAUCUUGUCAAGUAAUCCCCCUGAGAAGGCAAAGAUGGUUCUAAAAUUUGGGGGUGGGGGGUGGUGCUAUGCCAGAAUCAAGACCUGAAACUCCCUUGUCUAGCCAGAUUCUCCAGGAAUGGUGGGGGCUUUUAUACCACUCUGGAUCUUAAACUCUUGAGCCAACUAUGUCGUUGCUGAUUGAUGAUGAUAUACGCAUCUACUAACAUGCUGUUGUACUAAACAAACUAGGCUUACCGUAAAAAGGAGAUGAAAAUUAACAAUUAACAAAUCAACUUACAACAUUAUUAUCCUUCUUUGGAGAAAAGCGACUAAUCUCUCUGUCUAUAUAACCCUAUGAUUUGGAGAAAAAGUUGAGAAAUCAAACAUAAACUUCUCUCUACACAAAAAGAAAAAAGAAGCAAUUUGAGGUCAGUGCGAAGGCCUUCUGAGAGAACAAAAAAAAGGAUCUCAUCUUUAUUCACCAGAAACUCCGAGGUAUCAAAGACGACCAUCUUGACUCUUUCCCUGCAUCAGAAACAGAUCCAGCAGAGUACCUCCGAGACUUAUGAAUCCUCAUUUUAACGCCAGGAACUUUGCGUGCAAUCGCUUGCCAUAUCAUUUGGACUGCAUCAUCAACCCUUGACGGGAAAUGGAACUCAUAGAACUUCUCCACUUCCUUCAAUCUAUUCCACAUCCUUGUCCACUCCUCCUUGGUGAUUCCCCGAAUCAAGUUAACCAGAAAGUUGUCUUUCAAGGCAUCAGAGGUGCGGACAAACACGGAGAACUCAGAGUAAUCAAUAACGUCCUCGAAAGGAAGCUCAAUGUCGUCACUGAUAAUGACAGGCACGCAGUGGCUUGCAAUGGCGUCAAAGAGACGGUUAGAUGAAGGAGUGUCUCCGGCAAUGUUGAGGCAGAACUUGGAGUUGUGCAUUCCUUGGCUUGCUUUGUUUAUGCCUCCGUUUCUCACGCUCCCAAACGAGAAAUGCACGUCUUUCUCAUCUUGCAACAGGUAGAACAACUCCUGACGCACAAACCCACCCUGAGAUGUAUAUAUAUAUAUAUGAGCAAAAAGACUAUCUAAGAACUCAGCAAAAGUAAAAGGGAGUAGAACUCACAUCUUUCCUGUAGAUGGCACCCUGAAAGUAAAGCAGAAUGGGUCUGCUAUCGAAACCAGAGGAAUCGUUUUCGUACGUUUUGAUGACAUGCUUAUAAGGCGCAAUGACAUCUUUCUCAACGUUUGCAACAGUAGGAGGGUACCUUCCGAAGUCAGAGAGUAUAAACAUGGCAGGGAAGAGCUUGUUUCUAGCAUCCAACAUGCUAUUGGGAUGAUGAGCAAGGACCACAUGGUCUCUACCACCUGACCUCUUCCACUCCUCCUGAGCAGUCAAGAAAGCAACAAGCUUUCCUUGCAAAUCCUUGUUUCUGCUUGUUUUCUGGUGAGGAUUCACCUUGGAAAACCGAUUGUAACUCAAGGAGGAGAAAAAGGGAACAAAGAUAACAUCAGCGUCGGUAGAGUUAUAAACUCUUUUGGCAGCAAUGGGUCUAGCACCGUUUGGAUACUCGGACGCAAGAAGAUCCAAGGUGAGCCAAUACUCAAUGCUGUGCUGCAAAUUCAAGCCACCAGGGUAAGGAGGUAUGAACUUGUGAACAUCGGGCCAUACACUCUUUCUCUCAGGCUUCCAAUUUAGCAAUCCGAAAUGAAACUCCGGAUCCAUGUCGUACAUGAAGACCUUGAGAGGACCUGUUCUCUUCUCAUCUUCAACGCAUCUGCAAUCAUCUUUCUUCGCGCCGGGAUCGCGAACGAAUGAUUUGGAUUGGAAUGUGGAGCCAAGGAAGCGGUUGUGAGCGGUGGAGCGCAACACAAAGUAGCAAGAGAGAGCGAAGAGGACCGUUGUGAAGACGAAUAGGCAAAGAAGCAAGUUUCGGGCUACGUACCCGAUCGUGGAACCGUUCUUCUCCGGCAUUGCCAUAAGGGGAGAGAAAUCAAACACACGCAGCUAAGCUCACAUAAGGAGGGAGAGCGUGCUCAGACUGUUCUUCUCUCUCUCUGACACCAAUUUCAUCUCUCAUGGAGCGGCGGACAAGGAGGAGAGUAACAAACGGAACGGUGCUUAUUAAGAGCUUCAGGGAUCGUCAACUUUCCUAUUAUUAACUCUUUUAAUUUGUUUUGUUUUGUUUUUCUAAGAGUAAUUAUUACUAUUUAUUUUUUUUGUACAAGGUAGACCCAACAAUAAUUCAGAGUCCAGUUAUUGAAAUAGCUAAAGCAAGAUGGGACCAAGUUUGGGCCCAAAACUUGAAAGUCGAAAUAACUUUCUUUUGCCAAAAAGUAAAGAUGGGACCAAGUUUUUUGUCAAAUAUAACAUGUGUGUAUGUUUUAAACAAGAUGGGACCAAGUUUGGAUCCAACACCUAACUAGAAUCAGGUCAGCCCACGAGAAUAGUUUUUCACUUUUUCUUGAUAUUUUUUGUAAAUACCAGUCAAUUUUUCAAACAACACAUACCUGUUUAGGUCCUCUGUUUACAGAUCCUAAAUGCUAAAUGUAAUACUUAAAAUCACUAUCUAAAAUGAUAAAUAUCACAUUUGGAUUCAGAUAUUUAAAACAAUUGUGGAUGAUUUGGACAGUGUUGAAUUGUUUUUUUUUAAAUUAAACUAUGCAAACAGGUAAUUUGAUAGCAGUUGGUUGUCAAAAAAAAAAAAAAACCCAAGUCCACACCUUCAAUAAUCAAUUCGGAUAACUCGGUUCGUGUAUACAGCAAGCAUGGGUUUGACAAAGAGAGCAGGGGCUUUACCGGAUGCUUCUUAAGCACGUUACCACCAUUUCUUCUUCCCUUGGCCUCGCAACUUAACUACUCAAAAGUUCACAACACACCUUCUUCUCUAACUAAAGUCGUAUAGCUGCAGAGUCUUUGUCUUUUCAAGACGUUUCCUGCCCAAUAAUUGUUUCCUUUGAGGGUAUUUCGCUUUAAUUUACUCCGACUUGAUAUUUGUUAAAAUAAGAGUAGACCAAAUACUUUUCUUAAUGACUUUUUAGUUUUUAGUAGAUUUUUUAUUUUUUAUUUUAAAUCAAAGAAGACUUGUAUAUUAUUUGUAGAGUAACUCUCACGGUUAGAUAUAAAAAACAAUUCUAAAGUCAACUCUCUGAUAUAUGCCUAGAGGGAAUAUUUUUCCUGAACUUUGAACGUCGAAACUGUCAUUUGAGUCUCUCCCUUAUGCAUUAUAUGACCUGAUCAAACAAGGCUUACCUCUUGUGUCUCGUUAACCAAUGGCUCAAAGAUUGCAUCUUCUUCUCUCUAUAAUCUUGUUUGUUAAUUUGAUUCGCUUUUCAAAUCAACAAGACUUAAGUUUCGUCUACAACGGCUUUAACCAAGGCCAAGGCGAUCUUCUCCUUGACGGUCUUGCAAAAAUCCAACUCCCAGGUGGACUUUUGCAGCUAACCGAUGCCACGGCUCAGCAAAAGGGUCACGCUUUCUUCAACCGUCCGUUCGAUUUUGGUUCAGCUUCUUCAUCACAGUCUCUAUCUUUCUGGACUCAUUUCGUUUGCGCUUUAGUCCCUAAACCAGGAGCUGACGGUGGUCACGGGGUUGCCUUUGUUCUAUCCUCUUCAAAGGAUCUCACACAAGCAGACCCAACUCAAUACUUAGGACUCUUCAACAUCUCAACUAAUGGGUCUCCUUCUUCUCAGAUUCUAGCCAUCGAGCUGGAUACCGUCGAAAGCGCAGAGUUUGACGACAUCGACAAAAACCAUGUCGGUAUAGACGCAAACAAUCUCCACUCUGUUGUGUCUGCUCCAGCUUCUUAUUAUUCCGACAGAGAAGGAACGAACAAAAGCUUGACACUCUUGAGUGGAGAUCCUAUCCAGGUGUGGAUUGACUACGAAGAUACUCUACUCAAUGUUACAUUAGCUCCUCUAAGAAACGAGAAGCCAAGUAAGCCUCUUUUGUCAAGAAACAUCAAUCUCACAUCAGUUUUCCCGGAUGGAAAAGCAUUUGUCGGGUUCUCUGCAGCAACUGGGUCACUGAUCAGUUACCAGUACAUCUUAGGAUGGAGUUUCAGCACAAGCAGAGUUUCAUUACAGAGCCUUGACUUCUCUAAACUUCCCACGGUCCCUCGUCCUAAGAUACCGAAGAAAACAUCUUCUCUGCUUAUUAUUCUACUGGUUAUACUCGGCCUCCUAGUAAUGGCUGUUCUUGUAGGAGUUUGUGUGUACAGGAGAAAGAAGUAUGCAGAAGUCAAAGAGCCAUGGGAAAAGCCAUACGGUCCACUUCGCUAUACCUACAAGUCUUUAUAUAAAGCAACAGGAGGGUUUAGAAGAGAUGGCCGUCUUGGAAAAGGAGGUUUUGGAGAAGUCUUUAAAGGAACUAUGCCUCUUGUAGGAGAUAUAGCGGUUAAGAGACUAUCACACGAUGCUGAGCAAGGGAUGAAACAGUUCGUUGCUGAAGUUGUGACGAUGGGUUGUUUACAGCACAAGAACUUGGUUCCUCUUCUAGGGUAUUGCAGGCGAAAAGGCGAGUUGUUGCUGGUCUCCAAGUACAUGGAAGGAGGUAGCGUUGAUCAAUAUUUGUUUCAAGAUGAUAAACCACCUCUUUCGUGGUCUCAAAGACUUGCGAUUUUGAGAGAUAUUGCAUCUGCGCUAUGUUACUUGCAUACGGGAGCUAGUCAAGUUGUUUUGCACCGAGAUAUCAAAGCUUCUAAUGUCAUGUUAAAUGGAAACUUACAAGCGUUUUUAGGAGAUUUUGGGAUGGCUAGGUUUGAUGACCGUGGCGCUAACCUCUUAGCAACGGCAGCUGUUGGAACCAUAGGUUACAUGGCCCUCGAGCUAACAUCAUCAGGAACUUCAACUAGAACCGAUGUGUAUGCAUUUGGUGCAUUCAUGCUUGAAGUAACGUGUGGGAGGAGACCAUUUGAUCCCGAGAUGCCGGUUGAGAAGAGACAUUUGGUCAAAUGGGUUGUUGAAUGCUGGAAAAGGGGCUCUUUGGUUGAUGCUAUAGAUAGAAAAUUGGGAGGUAAAUUCAUACCUGGGGAGGUCGAAAUGGUUCUGAAACUCGGCUUGCUCUGUACAAGUAUUGUACCUGAUUCACGACCAUCAAUGGAACAAGUGGUGCAAUACAUAAACAGACACCAAAUGUUGCCUGAUUUAUCUCCAGAUACUCCCGGAAUUGGAGUUUCCACGCCAGUGUUAAUGGGAGUACCUUUCCUGGCAAUUUCUUCCACUUCAGGGAUCUCAUCAGCAUCACCACCAUCGGUUUCUUCUUCCCCUGCCAACAACUCAAUGUUCAUUUCUCACACAAUCAUGUAUGGUGAUGGAAGAUGAAAUCUGACAACUCGAUCGCGUGUCUCUUUGUCCGUAAUCUAUAAACUCUGUAUAGUUGUAUUAGUUCUGUUGUAGAGAAAUCUUUAUUUGGGACACAAGUAAUCUAUGUAAAAGUAAGAUGUAUAAAUAUUUCUCUAAAUGGCAUGUAUUGUUUAUGUGAACUAGGUGGUGUUUUAUAAAUCUAUACUAUAAACAUUAUAAAUACUUUUAUAUAUAACUCUAUACCAUAUACCAUAUAAAAUACAAAAAUAUCUUAAUUUAAAAAAUUAUAUUAAACACGAAUUGAGAACUUCAUAUUUUAAUUUUUAAAAAUUUGCAACAAAUUUUCAAGAAAAAGUAUAAAAUUUAAACCUAUUAAGAAUCCCCCAUUGAAAAUUUUGUUAUCAAUAAUUUAAGAAUUUUAUUAUAAAAAUAUAUGAAUAUAUACUAAUAAAAGGAAUCUUUUGAGGCUCCAUAAAGCGUCCACAUAAUCAUAUAAUCAUAUUAUUCGAAAAAGCCACGUGACAUCAUUACUAUUAUUACAUUAUAACAUUAAAUCACAUUAUUACCAUUUAAAUAUAUAAAUAUAUAAAUACGAAAUAUAAGUAAAUAUACAUUUAUAUAUAUAAAUAUAUAAUAUACGAAAUGUAAGUAAAUGGAAAUUUAAAUUUUUAAAUAUAUAAUAUACGAAAAUAAUAAUAAUAAGUAAAUACACAAUUCAAAAAAUAGAAAUACUACAUUAAACAUCUAUCUUAAAAUGCAAAAAUUAAAUAUAAGUAAAUAUACAUUUAAAUAUGUAAAUAUAUAAUAUAUGAAAAAAUAAUAAUAAGUAAGUACACAAUUUAGAAAAUAGAAAUACUAUAUUAAAAAUGUAAUAUACAAAACUUUUUGAGACUCCAUAGAGCGUCCGUCCACAUCACUAUAGAAUCUUUAUUCGAAAAGAAGUCACGUGGCGUCAUUACUAUUAUUACAUUAAAUCACAUUAUUACCAUUUAAAUAUAUAAUAUAUGAAAUAUAAGUAAAUAUACAUUUAUAUAUAUAAAUAUAUAAUAUACGAAAUGUAAGUAAAUGGAAAUUAAAAUUUGUAAAUAUAUAAUAUACAGAAAUAAUAAUAAUAAUAAUAAUAAUAAUAAUAAUAAUAAUAAUAAGUAAAUACACAAUUCAAAAAAUAGAAAUACUACAUUAAACAUCUAUCUUAAAAUUUUAAAAUUAAAUAUACAUUUAAAUAUGUAAAUAUAUAAUAUAUGAAAAAAGUAAGUAAGUACACAAUUUAAAAAAUGGAACUACUACAUUAAAAGUAACAAUAUAAAAAUGUUACUAUUACAUUAAACAAAAAAGAUGUAUAGUUUUACAUCAAACAAAUAAUAAGUAAAUACACAAUUAAAAAAUAGAAAUACUACAUUAAACAUAUAUCUUAAAAUGUAAAAAUUAAAUAUAUGUUAAUAUUAUGUAUAUUAAUGUAAAUUUAUUAUACGUAAUUUUACAUUAAAAUGUAAUUUUAUUUUCCAUUAAAAUGUAAUAAUGCCAUGUUUAUUAUGUAUAAUAAACUGUAUAUUUAUUAUGAUGCUAAAAUGUAAAAAUUAAAAAAUAGAAAUAUUACAUUAAACAUAUAUCUGAAAUAAUGUAUAGUUAACCAAGUGGUCUUGGCCUAGUGGUAAAGGGGUUCCAGCUGAAGCUUCCACCCUGGGUUUGAUUCUCCUUGGCCACCCAUAGAUGCCUUAAGUGGCAAGAAAACCCGGAUUUCUAUGGGCUUCUUGAUGAUUAGUCAUUGGGCCUAGAAAGCCUUUGGGAUCACACCAAGGUUUCCAAAAAAAAAAAGUAUAGUUUUACAUUUUAAUUAUUUUCAAAUAUUUUAAAGAAAUGGUUACAUCAAAAUAUUAGUAAAUAUUAAAUUAAACAUAUAUCUGAAAUAAUGUAUAGUGUUAUAUUUUAAUUAUUUCCAAAUAUUACAUCUAUCUGAAAAAAAACAAAUUAGAAUAAGUAAAUAUAAAAUUUUAGAAAAUAAUACGAAGUAAAAAUACAAUACAAGAAAUGAAAAUAUUACAUUAAAUAUCUAUUUGAAAAUGUGUAGUUUUACACUUUUAUUAUUUCCAAAUAUUUAUCUCGCUCUGAGAUACAUCGCUAUAAAAUCUAUUUUCCCACCAACAUCAACCUCACACACAUCAAAAAAGACUCCAGCAAAAAAAAAAAUUCCUCCACCAUCGAUCCUUGCCGUCCCAAAAACGGUCGACGACAUAUGUCGAUGUGUGGUGUUACUUCUAUGAACUAAAUCAGAUCAGCAAGACAAUAUUGGGAGCAGACCAACGGAUCUCAGGAGAAAAUUCUUAAAUUUAUAUAUGAUGAGUACAAAGCUUUGGAGGUGAUUUGGAAAUAAGCACUAUAUGAUGAUUUACUUAUUAACAAUGUAAAUGAAGAAAACUUGGAAGGUACUGGCUUGGCAAUUCAUUCAGCUCAACUCUGCUAUGGGGGAUGCCCCCUCUCAGCUAAAAACAGCAGAUACCCCCAAUAGUGCAGCUUUAAGGACCGACAAAGUUGAGGUACAACCUAAAUAACAUCAAUGAAUAUAUUUGCACACGUUAUUUAAAAUGUGUUUUCCAUUUAGCAAACUCUAAUAAUCAGUAGUCACACAUGAAUAAUUCAUGGUUCCAUCGUGUCUUAUACGUGAACAUAAUUGCACUAACAUUUGAAUUGUCUUGAAGAUUCUGCUGCAAUUGAGUAUGAUCUAAUGUACAUUUGAACUGAUAAAAUAAAUUGAUUGUUGCAGCUACUUCUCAAUCUUCAGUCUAAUGAUUCUUCUCAACUAUCCCAUGUCAGAAAAAGAAACAAAAAUGUAGGAGAUAAUAUGUUUUAAGAAAGUUGAAAUCCUUGUAUAUUUUAUAAUAGUACAUAAAACUAAAUAAACUAUUUGAUUUGUCAUAUAAGGUAAAUGCAUUGUAUUUAUCUUAUGUAUAUUAAUUUAUAAGAUUUUUUGUGAUUAUCUAAAGUUACAUUUAUGAAUUUUGAAAUUAAAAUUAGUUACGAUUUGGCUUUUCAUAAAAUAAAUAGAACAAUGUUAUCACACAUUUGAACAAAAUAUGUUAUACCAUAAAAUAGAUAUGAGAAUACAAAAUUUAUUAUCCUGAUCAUGGUUCCCUUACAAAGUUAUUAAACUUUUGUACUUUGAAUAAGGGUUUAUGAUAUAACGACUGAUAGAAUAUCACUGACACAUGAUACAAAUACACAUGAGCUUUUAUUAUAUGGUAUAUAGCAGUAUAUAUGAAUUUAUGUUUUCGAUAUCAUAAUGUGACACUAUCUGUAAAUGGCGUAAGAUAGAAGAACGUUAAGAUAUAUUUAGUUUUGAAAUUAAGUAAACCAAACUGAGCACAAAUCAUAACUGACAAAUUUCAAUUAAUUUGCUUUGAUAUUAUAUAUUGGAUCUAUUAAAAGGUAAAAAAAUCAAAAGAUAAAUAAAAUCAUUUAUUAUGAUAUAGUUAGAGAAAUACAAGGGAAGACCAAAAAAAAAAGUUAGUCUAAUGAAAGGUCUAAACAAGUUUCGUAGGUAGAUUUUUUAGGAGUUCUUUCCUUUUAAUAGUAUAGAUUCAUACGCCCACUACGAGAUCUUCAAUUGCGUUGUUUCGUGGCGAUAUCGGGUAUAAAUAGGUUCAUAUCCCUCUUUUGAGAAUCUGCGAUCUCAACAUCUCUCUGCCACUCAUCUCUUAUACUCAUCUCUCUUUAUGGCUGAUUGUUCUGAGUUAUUAUUUCCCGGCGAACUGUUAUUAUUUUCCUGUGAACUUUGUCCUGUUUAUUAGCACAGAUAUUGUUUUCUGGUUGGGAGGACAGAAAUUGUCAAUAAACGCGGCGAGCAAAAAUCAAUAUCUUUCCUUUUUUUUUCUGAUGAUAUUUAAGCUUUAUAGUAUACAAUACCACUAACUAUUUGCUUUACCUUUUUCGAUCCUGAUGUUGUGUUAAGAGUAUGAUGCAGUAUCUACGUUUGUAUGAGAUGAUCAUGGGAGUAUUUAGGUAAACUUAAAUCCCACAUUUUUUUUCAGGUAUAACGUUUUCUCUGCGGUUACAUUGCUGCAUAUCUUUUUAAAAAACGGGGUCAUCAAUGUUUUCAUAUCAAAUUUUAAGCCAUUUAAGGCUACACUUUCAGGGCUGUGACUUUGUAUGUGGUUCAUGGUGGGCACAGAUUAGCUUUGGAGAAGAACGAACAACGAUUGAUGCAAAAGGUUUUGGUUCAUCAAAUGGCGUCUUCGUUAGCUAAAGAUUCAAAGUUUGUUGUUGCUCUUGCGGCUGCUACUGGGAGUUGAUGGAGAGGUGUAGAACAUGAAGCUUUCAUUGGAUGUUUUUGUUUUGGUUUCUCAUCCAUCGAAAACGGGAUGGCUUUUUCUACUCUAUCGAAUUUUAGGUGUAACUUGGAAAAAUAUGAAAACUGAAGUGAAAAUCAUAUGCAUUCAAGAAAAUUUAAUUGCCAUUUGUUUUAAGUGAUUAGAAGAAGGUUGAUUCAGUUGAAACAACCAAGGGAAAAGAUUUGUGAAAAUAUGGUCAUCGCUUGGAAGCAAGACAUCCCUUAUCAAACAUGCUACAAUAAUACAAUGAUCUGUUAUCUCUGUUCGGCUAUACAAUUUUUUUAAAGAAAACCAGUUAACUCAUAUAUCUAUAUUAUUAAAACUGAAGUACACUUUAGUAAUGUUUGGAAACAUGAAUAGUACUAUAACUGAAAAUUGUUUGGAAACGAAGAUAGCAGUACUACAUUAAUUGUAUUUCCAUAUUUCACUCAUAUUAAUUAUAUUGUCUUAACAAUAUUUCACAUCAUUAAUUAUAUUACCAUAAUAAUAAUAGUGUAGAUUUUAUUUAGUAGUUAAUCAAUAUUAGUUUUGUGUCAAUUAUAAAAUCAAAAAAAGUAAAAUAACUGAGUUUUGUAUAAGGUUAAGCGUUUGUUUUAAUUUGUUUUACUAUAACAUUUUUUUUUUCAAUCAGUGAAAAAUUACGUAGCCAAAAACAUAAUUCAAAAACAUGUUUAGUGAAUAAAAUCAUAACUUAAAUCAAAAUAAUAAAAAUGAAUUACAUUCAUUGUCACUUAAUUUUUCACUCAAUAUAAUUGCUUACUAAAUAAAAAAAACUCUUUCAGUUUCACUUAAUUUAGCAAAACACAUAAAAAAUAUCAUUUAUAUUAGUUUAUAAAAUCAGUUAGGCAUGAACACUAAAUAUCCACUUAGGUACGAGUCGUUCCUUUCGGGUAUCGUUUUAUUUUGUUUUAAAAUUACUCACUCCUUGAAUAUUAUAAAUUUAUGUGUAGGUUUUGAGUUGAAUCCUUUUGAGUCUGGAUGAGUUUGGUUCUGAUGUAUAUGACCCUAAAAUAUCUAAAUAACCAAUGUAUUUGAAACGGGUUUGGAUAUUUGUACCAAAAAUAACCAUAUUAUCUGAUUCGAUCCGGAUCUUUUGAAUACAAUUAGUUAUAUUACGACAUAUCUAAAAUAUAAAACACUAAUUAUGAAAAACAAAUAUUAAUGUAUAAAAAUAUAAGUAUAGUUUUAUUUUAGUAAUUUCAUUAAUUAUAUUACUUUAACAAUAUAUCACAUCAUUAAUUAUAUUUACCGUAAAAGUAAUAAUGUAGAUUUUUAUUUAUUAGUUAAUCAAUAUUAACUUUGUGCAAUUAUAAAAAAAAAAUAAAAAUGUAAGAUAACCGAGUUUUGCAUAUGGUUAAUAGUUUGGUUUAAUAUGUUUUACUAAAACUUUCUUUUGUCUUAGUUCCAAUUGGUGAAAAAUUACAUAGCAAAACACAUAAUUCAAAGGCAUAGUUUAUAUGAACAAGAUAAUAAUUUAAAUCAAAAUAAUUAAAAAGUAUUACAUUUAUUAUCACUUAAUGUUUCACUUCAUAUAACUAUUUUAUUAAAUAAAAAAUUCUUUCUAUUUUUCUUAUUUUUGCCAAAUAUAUAGAAAGAGUUUCCUUUUUAAUCUAUUUGCAAAAUCAGUUAAGUAUGGACAUUCGGAUACUCAUUGAGGUACAAGUUGUUUCUUUCGGGAUUAAUUUUUUUGGAUUUUUAAAUUAGGCGCCACUUGGAUAUUAUAAAUUUAUGUAUGAUGCUUGAGUUGGAUCCUCUCGGGUCUGAAUGAUUUUGAUUUUGAUGUGUAGAAAUAUAAAAAUAUUUAAUUAACCAAUGUAUCUGAAAAGAGUGUAUAUUUGUACCAAAAAUAAUCUUAUUACCCGAUUCAAUCCAAAUAUUUUGAAUACAAUUAGUUAUACGACGACACAUCUUAAAUAUAUAACACUAAUGAUAAAAUAACAAAUAAUUUAUAAAAGUGUAAAAAUUAACACCCGCACGGACGUGCGGGUCAAUCUCUAGUUUUUAUUAUAUUUCAAACAAGGACUGUGAAAAAACAGUAAGUCUAAAGAUGAUAUUUACACGAGUACACAUACUGGCACAUAGCUAUCUCAUGACUUUAGUUACACUUCCAACAAAACCAACAGCUUUAGUCACUGAAGGUAGCGCUAGAAAUAGUAAGUCAAGUAAUUGAAAAUAAGUUACAUAUCCUCUUAAGAAAUCUAUUCAGUUUCGCAACAAGACUCCAAAAUACGUUCUCUAAAUAUAAUCACAAUAUCAAACUGGAUCUCAGCUUUUUUAAAGGAAAGAACAACAACGACAAGCUCAAUGGAGACAUGGCGGUAUAUAACAUUCAAAAAACAAGCAAAUAGCUACGAAAGAUAUAUACAAAUUAAAACAAAAGAUAUACCAUUGCUAUUAAGAACAUGUAAAGACACAAUCAACCAAAAUAAUUCAAUAACUGAAUGUAUCUUGAUCCAAAAUUAUAGCACACAAUACAUUUUAAACUAAUACAUAUAUUGUAUCAUGUUUUUUCUGUUCCAAAAUAAAUUUAUAGUAAAAUUUUAAAAUAAAAUAAUAGCUUACUUGGUAUAACAAACGAAAACAAUACAUGAGGUAAUAGAAUAAGUAAAACCGCCACUAACUAUACGCUGAAACUGAAUAAAAUUCUAAUUUAUAUCGAUUGUAUAGUACAUUUAGUAAAUAUGUUAAUACAAUCUACCAAAAGUUAGGCAAAAUAAAUUCACAGUCAAAAUUUUAUUUAUUUUUCUUAUUUACUAAAAAAAUAUUUAAAAGAAACUAUUAAAAUAAUCUAAAGUCUAAUUGGAUAAAACAAUAAAUUAGUUAUAUAUAUAAGGAGGCCAUUAUUAAAAACUAUUUUAAAAUGUAACAAGUGAAUUUUAUUUUUGAAACCUAAUAAGUUAUUGGGAUAAUAUUGUUUAUUUAGUCUUCUAAUAUAAUAAUAUAUAAAAUUAUCAGUCAUACAUUUACUUAAUAUUGAUUAUGUUUUGAUUCUGAUUUCUUAAACAAAUAAUUUCCUACUAUAUAUUCAUAUUCAAUUAUUUAAAUUAUUAAUUUAAAAAUAAAAUAUGUAAAAGAAAUAAAAAAUACAUGUAAAUUCAAGAUAUAAAAAAUAUAAAAUAAUCAAUGUUUUGAGUAUUAAACCUAACCACAACAAUACAACUCAAAUCUACUUACUAUAUAUAAAAAAGUUGAGCAAACAUUUAAGAAAAAUGUAUACCAUUUCAAUUAUGAAAAUCGUGUCAUGCUCAUACAAACUUAUAAUCUCUAACAAAAUUAAUAAAAAUAAAUAAUUUUAGAUAUAAAUAUUCGAAGAUGAUAUAAAAAUGUGUUCUCAUUAUAAAAAAACACAAACACAAGAAAAUAUAAUUACUAAAACAGUAUUAUGUCAUAAAAUAUAUAUGACAACAAAUAAUAAAAACAAAAACAAGUUAGAAAAAUAAACGAACAUCAAACGUUUAAGUAAAAUGAAUAUAAUUUUCUUAAUCACUUAUAAUUUUCUAAAACAUAAAAAUCAUUAUUAUACAUAUCUCUUGCAAAUACAAACCUAAAACACCCAUAAAAUCAUACAAAAAUAAAAACUUAGAUCACAAGCAAGUUUAUCCCGUCCGUAGGGCAGGCCUACCCUAGUAAGUAAAUAUACAAUAUAAAAAAUUGAAAACCAUAUCAAACAUUUAUCCAAAAAUGUAUAGUUUCUUGUUUUUUCUAAGGAAAUAUGUAUUCACAUAAACAUACAAUUCAUAAUUUUGUUGUUAGAAUACAACGUCCAAAAAAUAGUUAUAUAGUUAAAAUUUGAAAAUCAAAAUAGGUCCGUGCGUAGCGCGGGUUAACUCCUAGUCCCAAUAUAUAAAAGGGAUUGAUGGUGAGCUUUUAAGCUAUCUAUAUAUGCAUGGAAAAUCAACUAAUGAGAAAGUUUGAUUUUACCACGUCACCAUUGCUAAAAUAGAGUGGACUUUCGUAUGGGUUAUAAGAAAAUUAUCAGUCUGGCCCACCUCAGCCGAUGAAGAGAAACGACAUAGAAACCUUUAUUGUUUCACGCUUCAGACUUUCUUCUCCCAACUCUUCCACUUCAUUUUCUCCAAAAUCUGAUUUUUGUCCUCUGUUACCUUCUCUUCAAUAAUGAUCUUAGGAACAUCAUCUUCCCUGCCCCUGCAGCUUAUGGAGUAAUCGCUUAUGGGCCUUUGAAGUCCCUAUGCCCCUUUCCCUUUAAUGAAAUGUGAAUUGACGAAAAUGCCCUCGGUUUAUUAAAAAAAAAACAAAAUUCUGAAUGUGGUUCGGGUUUCAUGGAGCGGUUCUGGUUAUUGCGGUUUGGUUGGAAUACAGUUUGAUUUUUAUCAAUUUAUUAAAAUAAUAAUAAUUAAAAGUGGAAAAAAAAAUAACCGCAGCUCCCCCUCCUCAAUCCCACAGCUUCUCCAUCGCCGCCUUCUGUCGGUAAACCAAUAGUUUCCCGAUUAGAUAACUACAUUAAAAUGGUAUUUUCAGUUUGGUUGGAGAUGGUUUGAUAAAGCUGGUUGUUGACGUGUUUAUUUAGCACGAAAACAAAUCUCACAAGACAUAGCUUGUUCAGAAUCAAAACUAGUCUAUCUAAAAGAAGCAAAGCCAAUAAAAUCUGAUAAGAAGGAUGUCCAAGUCGUCGAUGCCAUAGUUCUGAUGUUGAAGAAUUCUUAACCUCAGUGCGAUGUACUCGUGCAGCCCUGACCCCUGUAAAGUAAUACACCCCUCACGUUCUCCAAUCAGGGUCUUCAUAAAACGAUCAUUCAAGACACAAAGAGUAUCAGUAAAAAUAGCAAUGCAACCAAUUUGUUUGAGUAAACACGACACUAAGAUCAGUGUGCACUUAAAGUCAGGCACACAUAGAACAUAUGAUAAAUAGUAAUCUUUGCUUAAAACAAGCGUGCAUGUUUUUCCUGCUUGGAAGAACUGUCCAUUAAGAAAUUUGACCUAAGAAGACAAUAUACCGGUAACAUCACUAAGAAGAGAUAAGUUUUCCGUCAUGUGAUGAGAUGCGCCAAUGUCAAUAAUGACAUCUGCAAUAGUUGGUUUACCAAAGAUUUUUUCGGUUGAUAUUGUUGAUUUAGUGUUCUGUAGUUGCUGGAGAAGUUGAAUAAUAUGGGCAAUAGGAUCAGCAUUCAUAGAGUUGGAUGUUGUGGUGUUGUUGGAGACGGAUCUAGUUGAGUUAGAACGUCCACGACCACGAUUACUAGAGUUAGAGGACCGGCCUCCUCUUCCUCGUUGAGGUGAACCAUAAGAAGAACCACUCAUGAUGUUGUAUUCUUUUGUUCAAUCCACGAAUCCGGAUAUCCAUGAAGAAGAUAGCACUCAGUGUUGUCAAGAGCUUUCCGAGAGCAGUGGGUGCACAUACAAUUUGGAUCACAAGUUCGGAAGGUGAUAGCUAAGGCUUGAUGCAUAUAUGUUUUAGGAAGAUGGGUUUGUGGAUAAAACACUAUAGCAUCUGGUUUCGGUUCUUUAGAACGUACUGUAUUAAGCUAUUGUUCUUCUGGUAGAACCCUGGAGUAGACAUUAUUAAUAUCUGGUAGCUGAUCCUCAUCAAUGAUUUGAGAACAUAUGUUCCUAAAUCGAGACUCAUCAAGUCUGAAUAAGAACUUAUGAACACAAAAUUCUUCGCGUUUUUUCUUGAUAUCUGCGGAAGCUUCAAGUGAACAUGAUCGAGUAGUUUUAAGGUUGUCGAGUUUUUCCAAUAGCUUGGUGAGACGUCCGUAGUACUCAAUUACUGUUUCACCAUGCUGCUGACAAGUAUUUAUUUCAUCACGCAAUUUAUGAAUUCAGACACCAUUCUUGACUAAGAAACGUCGUUGAAGAUUAUCCACAGCUUAUGUGCCUCAGGUACAAAUGAGACAGUUGUUUUUUUCUUAGGAUUUACCGAAAUCCGAAUCCAACCAACCAGCAUAGAAUUAGUUGCUAGACAUCGAGAGAGGCCUGGUUCUGUGGAGAGUUUCAUAAUUGUUCCGCCUAAGAAACCAAGCUUUUGUUUUGCUAUUAUGGAAUUAGAGAGCUUUGUCGUGCAUUCUGUAUAAUUAUCGCCUCGAAACAAAACCAAAGUAAUAAGAGGUCCUGAAAGAUAGUAUGAUCUAGAUGAAUCAUCAGUUGUAGGUAGGGACGCCAAAGUCGUAGUAAAUGUAGAGAAUGUAGUUUCAGCCAUGCUCCUUGAAGAUCGAGAAACACAAUAUGUAAGAGAAUUAGAUCUUUUGCUCUUAUACAAUGAAAUCUUAUAAGAUUGAAAAUUGUGAUAUUUGUAUUGUGUUAUUAUCAAGGGAAUGACCGUUAAUUAUACAAGAGAAAGUCAUAAAUAGAUAAGGACUAUGAAUCUACAUACAUCAUUAUCUAUAGAUGGAUAUAGAAGUACAUAUGAACUUUGUUAGUUCUUUUAUCUAAUAAUUUCUACAUAAACAAUAGUUCAAUGUAGCAGUCUAAAAACAAACUUCAUCUAUAAAAUUUUCUCAAAAAAGAAAGAAAGAAAACUUCAUCCAUAAGAAUGUGUAAUAAUAAUAAAAUAUGUUCAUCAAUACUAUUAAUUCAGAGCCUUGUUUUUUUUAUCUACUUAUAAAUAUUGUCAUUUAACUUCUGAACCUAUUCUCAUCUUAUUGGAAAUAUAUAUCAUUCUCUAUAAUUCAGUUACAUUCUUUCCUAACUGAUUCCCUAUAUAACAUUCUUUCCUAACUGAUUUAUAUUAACCAAUUGCAUACCAAACCAAAACAACUUCUGUUCUUGAGACUAAACCAAAAAUAAUCACACCUAAGAAUAGAGUAAACCAAAACCUGAUUGGUAAAAAAAUAGAGUAAAUGAGAGUAAAACACUUUUACUCUACAAGGUCUAUACAAUCACACCUAAGAAUAUCUACAUCAAGUACUGUAUAUGUUUGAGAAGAACAAAUUGAGUUUUGAUUACUUUGAUUUAAUAAAAGACAUAUAAAUUUGCACGAAAAAAAAAAAGAGAAAACGACGGACGACAUACUUAAAUGAUUUCAGGUAAAGUGGGUAAUGAAUAUAAACCGACUCGAUGAUCCAAAUAGUUUCACGUGGCAAGAUCUGAAUAAAACGAGACGAUACUAGAAAGUAAAAACAAUACGAUUCUCGGUGAGAAGACGGAAGUUAGGCGGGGUCUUUGGUUCGUCGUCGUGUACGUGAGCACACCGGAACUUAACCCGGACAUAUUGCAGAAAACUAAACCGGAUUUGAUAAUUGGCAGUCGGUCCGGUUCCAAUCGAUUUAUGGAAAUUUGAUAGAAGGCAGUAUCCGAUCCCUGGGUAUUUUGCUGAGGGGAAACCGAUUUCGAUUUGAAUGAUUUCAUGUUGUUGUUGCUGUAUGGAAUGGAGACUCUAUGCUGGUGAAAAUCUUCGGCUUUGAUUCUUGUUUUCGGGCUGUGUGAUUUGAGCUGAGCUGCUGCUUCUCGUUUUAAGAUAUGGAUUUGGUUGCUAGUUGCAAGGUAUUGGUUCGAUAUGUUUGCUUAUUGCUCGAUCAUUUGAAAAUGCUCGAGCAGAGGUCCUUUGUUUUAGUAGUGUGAUCGGCGUGGAUAUUGAUUGAUUUAUUUUGCCAUGAUACUGAGUAGAAAUUGCUGCUUUUAUAAGCUCUACUUUGGUUAUAUGAUUUGUUCUUUGUUUAUUUAUGGUGCCGUGGUGAGUUGAGUUGAUGAUGGGUGGUUCACAUGCUAGUGCUGAUUCCACUGAUGGUUAUUGUAUCGGCGCAGUCUCGUUUGCAUAACAUGCCGAGAUUAAGAUUCAGUGUUUGUCUGUCUAUGUGUCUUAGUCAAUCUCAGAGUCUGUUUAGAUGACUUUGCAGGGACAACCUUGUUCAUGGCUUUUGCAGUCAAUGUUUUGUUUUCAUCUUUGUUUAGUUAAGCUCAAAGUCUUUUUUUUUUACAUAUAUAUAUCUGAUAUGUUUUCAGGAGAAACUUGCUUAUUUCCGAAUAAAAGAGCUCAAGGAUGUGCUCACUAAGCUGGGACUUUCUAAACAGGGAAAAAAGCAGGUAUAUAUAAACUUUUCUACCAAUCUUGCAAUGAUCAGAAUUUAUCAUCUAUGUUUGGGCUGUAUACUUAUACUUGUCUCAAUUUGAGUGUUAUAAAUUGUGACAGAGUUGUUGAUAGUUAAUUCCUAGCGUGUCCAUCUACGUAAAAAAGAGGAUUAUCUUCAUGGCCUCAUAAGCUUAACUGGGGUUUUAAUUUGGAUUGUCGUUGUUCUGAUUUGUUUGGCAUUUGGCUUGUGCAGGACCUUGUUGAGAGGAUCUUCGCCAUUCUUUCCGAUGAGAAAGGUAUUUUGGGUGCCCAUUGUUUAUUUGUUCAUUCCUAACUGUGACCAAGAUAAAGUUCAGUGCUGGCCCACGCCCACCAUCUUCUGAUAAGCAUUUGGUUCCAUUACUUACUGUUUACUGACAGCCGCCAGGUUGGGGUCUAAAAAGGAGGCCGUGGCAAGGGAAAAAGUUGCAAAACUAGUGAACGAUGCAUACAGGUGAGUGCUUGCUUUAGCCAUGGAUCUCUUAUUGCAAUUUUUCCCUUGUGCACAGUUUUAGAAUUUUCUUUCCACCGUUGUGUUUCCACAGGAGAAUGCAAGCAUCUGGGGAAGGUGACUCGCCAUCAAAAGGACAAGUAAGUUCAGACAUCAGUAAUGUGAAAGCUAAGGGAGAGCUUGAAGAUUCCUUUCAACCAGAUGUUAAAGUUCGGUGUAUUUGCGGAAGCUCACUGGAGACAGAGUCAAUGAUACAGGUAAGUCUAUGACACAGAUGUUUAAUCGAACUCUUUGUUGAGUUAGCAGUAGCUCUUGGUGUUUUAUGAUUCAGUAAAAAAAAAUUUGGUGAUACCAUGUGGAUUAAAUUAUGGUUUGUAAUUUUCAGUGCGAGGAUCCGAGAUGCCAUGUCUGGGAGCAUGUUGGGUGUGUUAUUAUCCCGGAGAAGCCUAUGGGAGGAAAUCCACCGCUUCCUGAUUCAUUUUACUGUGAAAUAUGCAGACUUACCCGAGCUGACCCGUAAGAUGCUCCCGAACAUUCCCUUCUCUCCUGACUCUUUAUUUGUAUAUCGCUUUGAUACAUAAAUUCUGUCCAGCUUGCUAGAUUUUCCUCUUUUUCUUUGUUCAUGUGUCCACCACUGAAGAAAAUGCUAACUUUGUUGCAAAAUUGGAAUGUGAUCUAUAGGUUAACCAGAUUAUGAUUUAUUAGUUUAUUUGUGUCUGUUUUACAUGGUCUAUAAUGUGCAGGUUUUGGCUCACGGUGGCACAUCCAUUGUUCCCAGUGAGAUUGACUGCUACGAACAUCCCAACUGACGGGUAAGUAUACCAAACUUUAUAUUCAUGCUUGUUAAAUAGAUUAUGUACUUUCAACCGUUCUUAAAAGUACAAUUGGUAGCACUUCUUAGCAUGGAAAGCUGAGGAACUUCUGCAUGUGUCGUAUUUUUUUUCCUGUCUAGGAAUCAAGCGUUAGAUUUCAAUUGAGGGAUGGGGCGAAACCUAGUUACUUAGCGUUUGAGAUGAACUUAUCUUCUUCCUAAUAUUUAGAAAAAAAUGAAUCAUAGCUGUCUCCUAGACAAAUUCACAACCCCUGCUUAAACUUUAUGUUGAUGUUUGUUCUUUCUCUUAAUACUCUGCAAUUUUUUCAGUACGAACCCAAUGCAGAGUGUGGACAGGACAUUUCAAAUAACUAGAACAGACAGGGACUUAUUGGUGAAACAGGAGUACGAUGUUCAGGUUAUUGGCUUUACUAGUAGGUUAGAUAUUUUAACUUUAUAAAUGCGUAUUUUCUAAUUGGCAGUGCAUUCUGCCUUGUUUGUAGGCUUGGUGUAUGCUUUUGAAUGACAAAGUUCUGUUUAGGAUGCAAUGGCCUCAAUACGCUGAUCUGCAAGUCAAUGGUAUGCAAGUUUAAUUCACAGUUCAGAUUUGAAUGUAAACUAAUUGUGUCUUGUCAGCAUCUCCUUAAUAAAGUGAGUAACAUGGGUUUCAAACACAAUCGUACAUGUAUAUUAAUCACUGGGAUAAAUUUUCUUUACAAAAUCUAUUAACUUUCCUGGUGUUGUAAAACUCGGUAUAUAUGUUCUAUGCUAGCUGAUAUGGGUUCAUGUUAAAUCGUUGCCAUCCUAUAGGUGUACCUUUUCGUGCUAUUAACCGACCUGGGUCACAGCUUCUUGGGGCCAAUGGCCGUGAUGAUGGACCUAUUGUAAGUUUUUCAUCCUGAUGAGCAACAUUUCUUUAUUUUUAUAUAUGACUAUGCUAUCUUAAAGAUUAGUCUCUUGCUAUUCGUAAUCUACUACGCUCACAUCGUAUUAUUUUGCGCAGAUUACACCUUGUAUUAGGGAUGGAAUUAACAAGAUUUCCCUGAGUGGAUGUGACUCCCGCAGGUUUUGUUUGGGUGUAAGACUUGUGAAGCGAAGGAGUCUGCAACAGGUACACUUAUAUUUACUGCAUGAAUAAAAUGAAAAAAAAAAAAAUCCAAUUAACUAAAAAAUAAAGCCAUUACUUAAUUCAAAAAUGACACCUUGUUGGUAGAAAUCAGAGAAUUGUUUUCCAAAGGAAAAUGUGCUAAAGUGUUUAUCCAUUACCAUAUCUAUCGUUUCUCAAUGCUCAGAACAUUAGCUAUUUGUGCUUGUCCUUUAAAUUCUAUCUUAUUUUUCAUUUAGGUCCUAAAUAUGAUUCCAGAGGAGGCCAAAGGCGAACCUUUUGAAGUUGCUCUUGCGCGAGUACGUAGAUGCAUUGGAGGUGCAGCUGGAAAUGAUAAUGCGGACAGUGAUAGUGAUAUUGAGGUCGUUGCUGAUUUCUUUGGUGUUAAUCUUCGGUGUCCUGUAAGUAAUUUGUAGCUCAUUUCAAUAGGUUGUUGUAAUCGCUUAGUUUUUUGUUUACCUUAUUAACUCAUUUCUGAUUGUCAUUAGAUGAGCGGUUCUAGGAUGAAAGUUGCUGGGAGAUUCAAACCCUGUCUACACAUGGGAUGUUUUGACCUUGAGGUGUUUGUGGAGCUGAAUCAACGUUCCAGAAAGGCAGGUAUUUUAUCAUAGUCUACAUAAUUAGGUUGUUCAUAUUUUUUACUGAUUUUAUUUGUUAUGUGGUUUGAAAAUGCAGUGGCAGUGUCCUAUUUGUCUGAAGAAUUAUUCUCUGGAGCAUAUAAUCGUGGACCCUUAUUUUAACCGAAUCACAUCAAAGGUACAUUUUCAUCGAUAUUAGAAUUCUUGAUUUUUAUAUUAUUAGCAAAUUUAUAAAGACGUCUUCCUUGGCAGAUGAGACAUCUUGAUGAAGAGUUGACUGAGAUUGAAAUGAAACCUGAUGGUUCUUGGCGUGGGAAGUUCAAAAAUGAGAGUGAGCGCAGGGAUUUAGGGGCACUCUCACAAUGGCACAAACCUGAUGGUAGCCUCUUCCCCAUGGUUGAUGAGAUUAAACCCAAGAUGGAAAUGCAAACAACAGUUAAACAAGAAGGUUACUCAGAUGGGCCAGCCCCUUUCAAACUUGGAAUAAGAAAGAAUCGCAAUGGCAUUUGGGAAGUCAGCAAACCUAAUAAUAAUGGUUUAUCUUCUAGUAAUAGGCAAGAGAAGCUUGGGUACCAGGAGUUAAAUGUUAUACCAAUGAGCAGUAGUGCCACUGGAAGUGGUAAAGAUGGUGAUGACCCUAGUGUAAACCAGGAUGCUGUAGGAAGCUUUGAUUUUGGAAACAACGGGAUGGAACUUGACUCUCUCUCCAUGAAUGUAGAUUCAGGCUAUAAAUUUCCUGACAGUAAUCAUCAACCACCACCAGCUAGUAAUAACGACGUUAUCGUUCUAAGUGAUUCCGACGAAGAAGAUGAUGUUGUAAUCACCGCAGGACCUGCCUACAAUGAGAAUCAGGCUGAUGGCGGGGUAAGUUUCCCAUUGCACCCGGUUGGUAUCACUAACUCCUAUAAUGAAGAUCACCAGGUAGCUGCUGCAGGCAAUUCCGGCUUGGGUCUUUUCACAAACGAUGAUGAUGAUGAUUAUGAUAUGCGCCUAUGGCAGUUGUCUUCAGAUGCCCACGGAGGCCCGGGGUUCCAACUAUUUGGAUCUGAUGCUGAUGUAUCAGAUGGCUUAGCCGGUUUGCAGCCUGGUCCACUGAACUGUGACCCUGCAAUAAAUAGUGGUUACUCGAUGGCUCCAGGUACGUCUACUCCUAUGGUUCCAGAGUCGGUUGGAAGAUCCGAAGCAGAUGCAAACGAUGGACUAUUCGACAAUCCUAUGGCAUUUAGUAGAGACGACCCCUCGCUUCAGAUAUUUCUGCCAACAAGACCAGAGACAUCAGCUCAGUCGGAUUUUAGAAAUGAGGCUGGGAUGUCAAACGGAGUCAACAAUGAUGAUUGGAUCUCUCUGAGGCUUGGUGAUCAUGGUGAGACGGUAGGUGCAAAUGGGCUUAACGAAAGCAAUCUAGUAUCAACGAGAGAAGGUGCUUUGGAUACUUUGUCAGAGACUGGUUCGUUCCCCCGACAGAAACUGAUUUUCUCUUUUUUUUUUCUUAUACGUCCUUAGUACUGCUUGUUGUGCUUAUGCCGAAUUUGUACUGUUGCAUUAAUAGGAAAGAUAUUGUAUCAAUGGGUAUUUGUUACUGACUGUAUUAAUUGCUUACUUGCAGCAUCGUUGCUUAUGGGGAUGAAUGACAACAAACAAGAGAAGGCAAGUAGACAACGAUCAGAGAGUCCGUUUUCAUUUCCUCGCCAGAAGCGUUCAGUAAGACCUCGGCUGUUUCUGUCGAUUGACUCAGACUCGGAGUGAUGUGAUUCGUCUGUUUGGAUGAGAGUACCACUGUAUCUAUAGCCUCGACUUGUUUAUGUUUUUUUUUUUUUUUGGGGAUAUGAUUUGGUGUCCUAUGAUUCUUUUUUGUAUACGCAUAUGCACAGAACAAUCAGAUGGAUCAUGGCAGCCAGAGUUUGGGAAUAUUUGCUUAAUUCUCUCCUCUGUGCUUGGAACCUUGAGGCUCUCAUGCAAGGUAGAAAAGAAGCCAAUCUAAGUUGUUGACAUCUCCAAACCUAGUGAAAUAAUUAGCUUGUCAGAAUCUGAAGUUUCUGUGUGGUUGCAGGUUGUUAUUUGGAAAGGAGAAGACAGGUUUACAUAAGUUGGUGAAAAUUUGAAGGAGACUUGUGAUGGGGUGUAUGUAUUUUCGAAAGGGUUUCUCGUUUUUUUUUUUCUUUUUCUUUUUGGGGUUAAUAACAGUUACGCGAAAGCUGUUGUAAAAUGAUAUGGGCCAAAACGAGAAACAGCAUAUGUAAAAAUGUAUGGCUUCCAAAUUAUAUUUUGUUUGUUGAAUAUAGGGAAAAAAUGUAAGCUAUUGGUCAUUUUGGAAAAGGGCAAAGAUUAUAUAACACGAGAUGGUGAUUUGUAACUUGAUUUGUUGGUCGUAAGAGAUGUAAUGUGGUUAACCCAUGGUAAUAGUAAUGCCUGCUCAGUGUUCCAACUUUGACAAGUUAAUUUAAGCUGUAGUGAGAGAAAACAACCCACAAAAGAAGACAGCUAAACAAAGGGGAUCACGGAACCUUAUGGACGAUGACUCAUUGCUCACAUCUCUUCUCUUUGUAAUUCCAUCCUUAUCACAAUUUCUUCUCCUUGUGUGUCAUUAUUUUAAUUUCAAUUGGAGCGUCCCCAUUCUUCUUGUAAUAAAAAAGCCGUAAAGCAUUGUGAGAUUCAUUAUACAAAAGAAAAAAAAAACUUUUUAACGUUGGAUCAUUCAUUCUUCUUCACCGAGCCGCAGAAAUAUCGAAGAUGCAGAGGCUUUUCGCAGCGAGAUCGGUUCUUGGUAACGCCGUCAAGACGCGGAGGAGGCAGCACUUGUCGUCUCUCUCUUCUUCUCUCCUCUUCGACGAAACUCAGCUUCAGGUUCCUUCCUGCGUUUGGUGGAAUAAAAUUGUUCUGUUUUUUUUUAUUAAUUAAUUAAUUAAUAUAGUGAUUGUACUCCUCUCUCCUUUUGUGAACUGCAGUUUAAAGAAAGUGUGUCCAAGUUUGCACAAGAUGUUAUCGCUCCUCAUGCCGAAAGAAUAGAUAAAACAAAUUCAUUUCCAAAGGUCUCUUUUCAUUCCCUCUUUCUUACCAUUUUCACCUCCCAAAAUCUAAUCUGUUUGUUUUUAUUUUGGUGAAAAAGGAUGUAAACUUAUGGAAGCUAAUGGGUGAGUUCAAUCUCCAUGGAAUCACAGCGCCAGGUAACAACAUGUCACUCUCUGUCCACCACUGAUCAUAUUAAGCUCAAUCAUGUUUUAAAAUCCUGCAGAGGAAUACGGAGGUCUUGGUCUCGGUUACUUGUAUCAUUGUAUAGCAAUGGAGGAAAUAAGUCGGGCCUCGGGCUCAGUUGCUCUCUCUUACGGUGCCCAUUCCAACCUUUGCAUCAAUCAAUUGGUCUCUACAUUUGCUCCCUAAACUAAACUAAACUACUUUUGCAAUAAUAAUCUGAGGUUUUAUUCACAAACAUUUAUCACUAUCACUACUUCUACAGGUGCGGAAUGGAAAUACUUCACAAAAGCACAAAUAUUUGCCCAAGGUACGGUUUCAUCUGGUCACUGCUGCUUUGAAUAGUUUGAUUCCUCAACUGUUUUUCCAUGUUUCUCAUUUAACUAAUCUAAUGCUUUUGUUGUUAUGAAGCUGAUCAGUGGAGAGCAUGUUGGGGCUCUUGCGAUGAGUGAACCCAAUGGUAAUAAUAUACUAAUAAUAUUAUCCUUUGGAUGAAGAUGUUAGAGAGAGCGCAAACACCCAUAUUCCUAAACGCUUUGUUCUGAUUUUGGUUACAGCCGGUUCGGAUGUUGUCAGCAUGAAAUGCAAGGCUGAUAAAGUUGAUGGUGGCUUUUUAAUAAAUGGCAACAAGAUGUGGUGCACUAAUGGUCCCUCUGCUCAAACACUGGUUCUCCUUUACUUCUGAAUUUUUCAUCCUUUUUUUUUGUUUAAUAGCAUACAUAAUUUCUGUUACAUUUUUCUACUUUGUUUUUUGGUUCAAUCAGAUUGUGUACGCCAAAACUGAUACAAAAGCAGGCUCUAAAGGAAUCACAGCUUUCGUUAUAGAGAAGGGAAUGGCCGGGUAUGUUCUCUUUCUUUUUUUUUUAUAAACUCAGUCUUGUUUAAUAAAGUUGAAACUGCGCCUUUCUGUGAUCUUUCGUAAAGAAAAGAGAAAGGAGUUGAGAG